AUUAAUACUUGUUUUUACCAAAAGAAAAGAAAAAACAAAAGGAAAUUCUCUCUCUUGGUUUACACCAGCGAGGUCUCUUUUUCCAUCUGUGCAGUGGUCAUGACGAGACGAAAACGACGCCACGCCCCUUAUACAACGGACGAUUCUCGCCGCCGUUUUCCACCACCCGAAGCCCAACCCCAACCCCGUAUACACCCGUCAGACUUAAUUGAUGAUCGGGAAGCGGCUCAGCAACGCGAGAUUGAAAAACUGCUCCAGGAAAACCGCAGUCUAGCGGGCGCGCACGUCUCUCUUAACCAGGAGCUCUCCGCCGUCCAGCACGAGCUCCGUCUUCUCUCUUCCACAGCCGCAACCGUCAAGACCGAAAGGGAUGCUGAGGUCCGUGAGGUUUACGACGAGGCACGGAAGAAGGAGUCUGAUGUUCGUAUACUCGAUGAGCUUAGAGUAGAGUUGGCUCGGGUUAGGAGCGAUAUUCAGAACCUAGUUGACGACCGUAAAGAGCUCACUGCCAAAUUGCAGAACAUGGAGAAAGAUCUCGUCAAGGUUGGUUCCGAGUUACAGCAGUUUCCCGUAAUCAAGGCUGAAAUUGAGUCCAUGCAUAAGGAAGUUCAACGAGGAAGAGCUGCUAUCGACUAUGAAAAAAAGAUGCACACCAGCAACCUUGAAUAUAGUCAAGCAAUGGAGAAACAUAAGAUUACUCUGGCUUCUGAAAUUGAGAAACUACAUGCCGAGCUUGCAAAUGCAGAGAAGAGGGCAAGGGCAGCAGCAGCUGCAGCGGCUCCAAGUAAUUUAAACCGCCAGAUUUCUGCAGCAACUCCAAAUUUUACAUAUUCUGCCAAUUAUGGAAAUCCUGAAACAGGAUAUAGAGAGAAUCUGUACCCUGCGCCUUAUGCUGUACAUCAGUAAUGAGAUGUAAUGCUGCAUGGGAUCUUAAGUAUUUGUUGUUUGCCUGUUGUUCCUUCAAUGCUUUAAAAAAUUCAGAUUCCUCUCUGCCAUGUUCAGGUCAGUGCUGAUGCAAAAACCCAAUAUGUUGGUGGAGCCAUGCCUUAUGUACAUCACUAGUUGGUGGUUUGAAAGUGAAAAACUCGUGCCGGAUGACAAGCAGAUGUAAAUGUGUCAAACUUAGGGAUCUUUUAUUUCAUGAGAGAAGUGGUUUCUGGAGGAAGCACAGAUGAAAUGAUUUUUCUUGGUGGUGAUGAGACUGACAUUUGUCUUGAGUGUAGUCUCAGAAUUCAGAUAAUUAAUGACUGUUGUGGUUAUUUGUGCAUAUGUCUAUUUAGUGGAUUGAAGUUAGUUGGAGCCAUGAUUGGAUCCUGAAUUUAAAAAUGUGGGGUUUUCAAAAUUAAUUAAGUUGAAGCUGCAAGUGA
Molecule: RNA transcript, 1367 nt
Organism: Solanum tuberosum (potato)
Lineage: Eukaryota; Viridiplantae; Streptophyta; Magnoliopsida; Solanales; Solanaceae
Gene name: protein FLX-like 1
Exons: 5
Source: RefSeq, a predicted model, not a curated record